Long non-coding RNA from Bombus pyrosoma, 1250 nucleotides. RefSeq lists it as uncharacterized. NCBI's taxonomy places the organism in Eukaryota, Metazoa, Arthropoda, Insecta, Hymenoptera, Apidae. The transcript has 3 exons. The record is from RefSeq and is a predicted model, not a curated record.
GUGCGUGCAAAAUGGUGCACGUGUAUAUUCUACAUGCAUAUAUGGUAUACGUAUUGGCAUUGAAAAUGAGUCAAGUGUAUCAUGUCUCGUUUGUAUUAGUUAAAUUAGUCGAAUCCAAGUCACUUGAUCUGAAGUUUGUGUUUGUACAGAUCAAACAUAAAACUAAUUAAACAAGAAAUAACAGUAUGUUAUGCAUUGUGACGUUAGAUUUAUGAUAUAAGUAAAGUCAGGGAAAGUCUACGAUUCGAAAUAAGGCGAAAUCGAGAAUAACAAAAUUGAGCAAGAGCCUUUACUUCAGAGAAUUUGGAAAUUUCUCUACUUUGAGACUAGUUCUUAAUUAUACAGGAGUGGACAAUUGAUAGGAGAUUUCUACAUGACAUAAUAAGUUGAAUACGUUCCACAGUAACAUUCAAGCAACAGUCAACUCUCACCAGCCAGUUAACAUUAACUCGAGUUAAAACACAGUUCAAAGAACAUCAAGAGUCAGAAGUCAAGUCAACAGAAUCUCCAAGUCGAAGACAGUCAAUCGACAGAAGAGCCAUCAUCACAGUCACCAACAUGAAGAAUCACAUCGUUCCUGCUGUUACUUGUUAUUUGAUCGGACCUCGUAUACAGCCAUUUAUACAACGAUACUACGCGCAUCCUGUAUCGCGAUUUCCCGCUAAUUAUUAAAGAAGAGAUUCUCUCAAUUAUGCGCCAGGACGUUGACCUGUCUAUUUGCAAAUGUCGCCGCGAUGAAAAGUAGAGUUUAUCGAACGCGGAUGGUAAGAGAUCGAUUGAACAACGUGUAUAACGUUCCGUUCACGUGCGAACGUACUAAGGUAUAGGCAAGUAUAUAAGACCAUAACCGCAUGAACACCAUAAGCACGCACUUUUAUGACUUACGGUAAAUUUAUUUCACAAUGUAUUUCCCCUCCCUGGCAUGUCUAGUGUUCAUGUCUCUUGGUUACAAUUUUGGAGGAUUUGUAGUACUGUUACGAAUGUUUCAUGGUUAUAUACUAAAGUAAGUUACGAAUUGAAUGGAUAAAUGUAUUAGGUUGUUGCAUAAUAAACAUGUCACUUUUCUAAUAAACAAAUUAUUUGUAUAUUGUUUUGCUUAAAAAACAUCGAUUUUAUCAAUUCUAAGACACCAAGAUCCAUUACUACCUUCAUUGAUUUGAUAAUAUUUUUAAAGCAAUUAUAUACAUAUUUUUUACUUUUUUCUAAGUACAAUAUACAGUUUCCAGAUCAUUUUUCCUUUUGAAUAUAUA